UAUAAUCAAGGUAAAGUAAGACGAAAGAAGGUAAUACUCGAAUUCAUCCUAAGUUUAAAGAGAAAGCCCAAACUCAUGCCUAACCUAUUUAUUUUAAUCCUAAACUUGUCCCAUAAUAGGUGGGACAAGUACCCAAAAAAACUCUCUCAUAGUCAUCUUGGUCGGAUUGGGAACGACUCCCUUAGGGGCCUUCCUCGGGUGUCGAACAAUUGACUUAGAACGGAUACAGACAAGGGGAAUUCGAUUGUUUAUUAAAACAAAGCAUUGUGAUGGUCUUUGCGAAUGCUCUGAUUUCUGCCCAAUGCUCUAAAUGUCAAAGUGAAGAAAUUCAAUCAAGUGCAGAUAAACGGUGGGAGUAGCUAUGACUCUCUUAAGGUAGUCUAAUUAAUAACGUGCAUGAAUGGGUUAACAAGGUUGUUACUAUCCUUUUCUACAUCCAUCGAAACCACAACCAGAGCAAUAGGCUUAG
Molecule: non-coding RNA, 469 nt
Filed under: Vitis vinifera (wine grape)
Lineage: Eukaryota; Viridiplantae; Streptophyta; Magnoliopsida; Vitales; Vitaceae
Description: Eukaryotic large subunit ribosomal RNA
Rfam family: Eukaryotic large subunit ribosomal RNA
Source: Rfam by way of RNAcentral